Small nuclear RNA from Ictidomys tridecemlineatus (thirteen-lined ground squirrel), 216 nucleotides. Its record names the gene U2. It matches the Rfam family "U2 spliceosomal RNA". From Rfam's summary of the family: U2 is a small nuclear RNA (snRNA) component of the spliceosome (involved in pre-mRNA splicing). Complementary binding between U2 snRNA (in an area lying towards the 5' end but 3' to hairpin I) and the branchpoint sequence (BPS) of the intron results the bulging out of an unpaired adenosine, on the BPS, which initiates a nucleophilic attack at the intronic 5' splice site, thus starting the first of two transesterification reactions that mediate splicing. The record is from Ensembl. NCBI's taxonomy places the organism in Eukaryota, Metazoa, Chordata, Mammalia, Rodentia, Sciuridae.
AUAGCUUCUUGGCCUUUUGGCUAAGAUCAAGUGUAGUAUUUGUUCUUAUCCUUGUAGUAAAUUAAUUAGAAAGUUAAAGUUGGAAGAGUAAACUAGGCAUGUUAGGCUCUUUUAUGGGAAAAGUAAUGGCAAUAUAGCACAAUUCGAUAAAACAGUUUAGAAGCCAUUAUUGCUUACUUUGCAUUGCAUUAAGUCCCAAAGAGAAUUAAAUGAGAU